Molecule: long non-coding RNA, 10320 nt
Filed under: Zostera marina
Lineage: Eukaryota; Viridiplantae; Streptophyta; Magnoliopsida; Alismatales; Zosteraceae
Description: long non-coding RNA (ZMAR_LNC003518)
Source: RNAcentral
AUAACUGGAUAUAUUGAUACGCAAGUAAAUGACCAGAUAACUGGAUAUAUUGAUAAACAAGUAAGUGACCAGAUAACUGGAUAAGUUGAUAAACAAGUAAGUGACCAGAUAACUGGAUAAAUAUGAUAAGUAAUACUUGAACAAAUAUAAAGAUUUAAAGCAAUGAAUAUAACCUCAGAUAGUUGACCAGAUAACUGGAUGAGGGAUCUGCGUAAAGUAGUCAACCUCUGUGUUUGACCAGAUAACUGGAAGAGGGAUCUUUUUAAUUAAGUGUUGUUUUUUUAAACAAAAGAUAAAACUAUAAUUAACAGAGAACAACACAAGAGAUUUAUACUGGUUCACCCAAACACGGGCUAGUCCAGUCCCGACCAACUGCCGGAAUUCACUCGCCUAAAGGUAAUGGCAAAACCUUAGAGUAUCAAGGAAACUCUUAAAAACCUCUCUAAGCUUUAAGGCUACUUCGCUUAGGAACCAGUCUUUUACGGGUAGACUCACACCUUAGAGUAUCAAGGGCACUCUUAAGAACCUCUAACUUUUACGGGUAAGUUAGUACCUUAGAGUAUCAAGGAUCAAGGAACUCUUAAAAACCUCUCUAAGCUUUAAUGCUACUUCGCUUAGGAACCAGUCUUUUACGGGUAGACUCACACCUUAGAGUAUCAAGGGCACUCUUAAGAACCUCUAACUUUUACGGGUAAGUUAGUACCUUAGAGUAUCAAUGAACUCUUAAAAACCUCUGAAAUCUUUAAAGGUAGACUCAACCUAAGAGUUUUCCCGGAAACUCUAUAAAACCAAACUAGAGCUUUAUGGUUGAACUCACAAACCUUCUCUUACACUUUGGUACUAUUGAGACAACCCUCUCAACCAAAGUGGACACACACAAGAGGUGAUUAGAGGAGUGGAAUAUUAAAGCAAACAACACUUCUUACUUGUAAAGAUGAACAAGAAGAUUAGAAGUUGGAGAGCUUUUGAAGCUUUGGAAAGCUAGGACACUUGAGCACUUGAAAGCUUGGAAGCUUGGAGGCAAAAACGUGUGGGCAAGUGUGGAGUGAAAGCUCUUGAGUUUGCUUGUAGUGUGGUGAGUGAAAAUGAGGGGUUUACCCUUCUAUUUAUAGCCUUGGCCACUCAAUGUCCACCCUUGGAUCUUCAAUGGAUGGCUCCUUGAUUUCUCACAUAAAUCCAAGCUUUGUCUUUGAUCUUAUCUUGAAUAGUGCUUUUCUUGGAUAAAGUUUGUUGGAGAAUCUUAUCUUUGUAUAAAUUCAAACUUGAAUAGUGUUUUGUCCCCUUGGAAUAUUAUACCUUGAAUAAAGUGUCAAAAGAUAAUAAUAAUAAUAAUAUUCAAGGUAAAAAUGCAAUUAUUCCAAAUAAUAAUAUUCAAGGUGAAAAUGCAAUUCUCCCAAUUUGACUUUUAACUUUGACUUAAACCCUUAACUCAAAUGAUUAAUUAAUUAAGUGGAGUUAGGUUUAAUAUCGAUUGACUUAUUUACCCCCAAUUGAUUAAUAGUGUAAUUAGGGUUUAAGUUGACAUGAUUAAAAUAUAAUCCGAUAUCGACAAUUUUGAUUCUACAUUCUCCCCCUUUGUCGAUGGCAUAUAUGUUUUAACUCAUGUCUAGUCAAUAUUCUAUUUUACCCUUAUGAGCAUGCUCCCCCUUAAUUAUUGACCCAUAAUAUUCAAUUUAAAAGCCGUGGAUCAUGCAUGAUUUCUCCCCCUUAAAACAAUAAGGUAUCGACAAAGUUAAAAAUAGAUACCUGUGAAGUAUCUCCCCCUUAAUGAUAGGACAUAUCUAAUUUGUGGAGAAAAUAAAAUUUCAUACCUUAUUGAGCUUUGAUCACAAAUUCGAUUUGUGUGGUUGACCAAAUGUGACGUCUUGCUUAUAAGAGUGUUAAUCAAUCAUAUAGGAGAAAUAACAUGUAAUUUAUGCUCAUUGAUAAAAUAUUGGAUUGAAGCCAAUUUUGAUAUACAUUAUAAGGCAAGUAUGAUAUGAUAAUUUAAAUUGCCUUGUGUUAAGAUCAUAAAAUGAAUAAUAAUCCAUGUGUGUGUUAUGGAUGAAGAUGAUCUUAACAUGUAUGGAUUAAAGAUUUUAUAAUGUUGUAAUCCAUAAAAUAUUAGUGAAUGAUAUGUAUAAAUCCAUAAUAUUCACUAAUUGCUUUAAGAAGAAAUUGAGUAUUUAAAAUUUUAAAAUCUAUGUCUUAGUGACAAAUAUAAUCAUGUAAAUAUUCACUAAGUUUUAAAAGAUUUAAAAUUUUCAUUUCAGUCCUUAAAGCCUUAGUAGUAAAACUUCACUUAAAACAAAAUUUCAUUUAAGCCCUUUGAAAUUAUGAUGAAUACUUAGAUUAAUACUUAAAAAAUUUCAUUUUAAACCUUGGAAGUAUUAAAUAUUUCUAAGUAAUUUUUCGAUUAAAACUUCAUGUAAAUAUUGAUUCUAAGUCCCUGAAGUUUUACAUAAAUUUAUAUUCACUGUAAAGUUAUCAUUUUGACCCUUAAGUUUUAGUGAAUCAAUUUAAAACUUAAAAACUUCAUAAACGAUUUAUGUUUAAGUCCUUGAAGUUUCACAUAACUCUAUAUUCACUGAAAAAAAUAUCAUCUUAAUCCUUAAGUUUCAGUGAAUAGUUUAUGUUUAAGCCCUUGAAGUUUCUGGUUUAUCCAUGUAACCCUUAAAUAUUUGAUUUUGAUGAUAUUAUGUUUUUCUUUAUGCAUGCAUACCCUUAUGUUUAUAAGCUUAGAUGAUUAAAAUCAUAAACUGAUUUUUCAUUCCAGUAGAAAGGGUGAUACAUGACAGAGUUGUUCUCAUAUUCCAUGAGACUACGAUCCAUGAACGGAUCUUCAAAAUAGCAGAAAAACAGAUACAAAAUACAAGCACUCAAAACAUCAAAAUACUUCUUAGGGCAGAUGUAGUUCAGUCAUGGUGGUGCAUGGUUGGAAUGACCUUGGAGCUAAACUCAUGAAAUAGGUUUGCAAGCUCCAGGUUGUAUUCUCUCUCAACAUCUAGCUGUUGCCUUGUUAUAGAUACCAUCUCUUUCUGAUCUCCCAUUCCUUUCUCCAACAUCCUUACUUGAUGUCGAAUCUUUAUGCUUUCCUCAUUCAAAAACACAUUAGUGUUUUGUGAGUUUGGAUCAUAAGUGUUUCUCCAAGUCUUUUGGAAAGAGUUUGCAGUGAAUGGUUGAAUGUGAGCUAUGAUUGGAUGUGGGUAGAGUGGGAUUCCAAAGAAUCCUGGACUGAAGAGUCUUGAGAGCAUCCUUGGGUAGUAGCGAGCUCCAGUGUUCUUGGUUGAAGUAGCCAGAUUGUGCAUGAUCAGUGAUACCCAGUUCACUCUGAUCUUUGACAGCAAGCAGUAGAUUGCUACUAAGAUCAAUGUCGAUGGUUCUUCUCUAUUAUCAGCUUGAGGGUAUAUAUUGUAAGUGAUGAUCUUCAAAAAGAUUGAGGCUUCUGGUAUGAGCAUUGUAUUCAGAAUCUUAUCAGUUCUCUUAGGAUUAUACCUGUGGGUGAGAGUAUUCCAGAGAGUCUCCCAGCUGCACUUAAAAGGUAGCUCACCCAGGCUUUUGUAGUUUUGAAGCUUCACUCCGUUGUUGGGUAGGUUUAUCCAUAUUCCGAGUUGAUCAGCUCUUAGAAUGAGACAUAUUCCAUUUACCUUGGUGGUGAUCACUUGAGUACCUACUGUCUCAUACUUGAGAUUUGCAUAGAACUGAGCCAACUCGGAUUUGUAGAUCCUGAGCUGCCCUAUGUUUUCAAGAUAGUCCGUGAGUCUGUUGAAGUUUAGCAGCCCUUCAAUCACCUUGCAGUUGAGAGAUUUGAGCAGAACUGGUUCCUCAAAGAUUAUUCUUUGCUCGAGAAUGAGAUUAUAGGAAAACUUGGCUAUUGGAGAGAUCCAUGUUGGUGUUCCUUGGAACAUCUCUGACACUGGAAUCCUUCUGGUGCGUUUCUUCCGGAUAGGAUUGCUGCUUGAAGGAUUGGGGUUGUAUAACGGACUGGAAGGACAGUCAGGUAUGAUUGUCAGUUCCUUCUUCUCAGGAUCGAUUUCUUGAAUCAACAUCCUUGCGACAGACUGAUUUUAGGAAGAAGAAGAAGAAGAAGAUAUGUAUUCGUUUGUUCUUCCUAUCCUUAUAUAGUGAUAUAUUCUACUUUAGGCUGAUCAUGUCUGUCUUGAUUCUGUAUUAACAGACAUUACUUGUGAAGCUUUACAAGCUUUAAGUCAUGUCUACCCUUGAAGAGUUGGCAACUUAGGGUUUGUUUUUCAAUACUCAUGACACAUGUCUUGGAGAGUCUUAUCAUUUAGAUUUAUCUAAAGAUUUUGUUUACUAGAUCUAAGUUAAGAUUUGUUUUAAAAAACUAUUUAUUCAAAUAUUUAGAUCAUACCUUUUUAGUAAUUCAACGCAACUCUUACACUCUCCGUGCUUCUAGACUUUUGUAGCCGAUGUUUUUUCAACUUCUGCAGGUGAAGAUUGAUGUGUGCAUGUGCAGGAUUUGUCUUUUGUCAGCACUUCUUGCGAGGUGUUUCUUUGCAGGUUAUUCUCUGGUAAUGGAGUUGCCGGAUGUCGCAAGUGAAUGAUGGUUGCAGAUGGGUCGAGCUUUUUCUGGCUUUUUCAGCAUCGAGGUUGCAGACGAGAGUUUCAAAUCAUAUCUUAUUUGUUUUGAGUUUCCAAGGUAUGGUUUGGCUUACCAACAUCAUUUAGAUAAGAUAUAAUAUAGCAGAAUUGAUUUAAAAAUAUGUCGCAUUAGUCGAUGUUGCAUAGUUGACGGACAAAACAUGCAAAUGAUUAGUGAUAAGUAAGAUUUUAUCAUGCAUGUAUAUGACUACAACAUGCAUUCAACAGAUGAUUCUAAACAUGUCGAUGUUUUGUCAUAUGUGAAUCAUGCAUGUAUAGGAUUAGUUUCAUAAUUGAUUAUGAGUUAACGAGUUUAGUAAGGAAAUAUUUAUGCUUAUGAUUGCAUGCCAUAUAGUUCUUUAACUAGUAUUAAAAAGAUAGCAUCAUUCAAAGAUAAUCAAUUGUUUGGUGAUUGAUUUCAUAUUAAUGCAUGUAAACAUGAUAAGUACAUAUGAUAUGUACGUAUGAAUCAACGAGUUUAAUAAUGAAAGCAUAAUCACAUAGUAUAUAACUGAUUGUUUCAGAUGAUUAUGUAGUUGAAUAUUUCAUAGGAGAUUUUAUAAAGCAUGCAUUUAUCAUAUCAUAUAAUUUAUAGAAGUAUGUAAAUCAAUGUGUAGGCAUGUAUUAACGUGAUUGAUAUAUAUGAUAGACAUGCAUUUAGAUUUUUAUUUUACUAUGUCUAUUGAGCUAUGUGCGUGUAGAGCUUAGCAUGUGAAUGAUCAUAAAAGCAUGUAUGUUUAGAUAGCAUAUAUUAAGUUCAUAUAUAUAUAUGAACAUAGAUCUACUUAGGCUUUAUUUGAGAUACAAAGCAAUCUAGGACAUAGUUGCCUUGUAUAGAUGAUCUUGUUUGUAUGCCAGUGUGUUGAUCUCCAAUGAUUUGUUCUGCGGAGUGUGAGUUUCUGAGAUUCCUAUUUGAUGGAAGUUCAGAGAUGAUUGUCUCUUGCUCAUCUUUUUCUAUAGGAGUGUCAGAUGGUAUUUGUCGAGUGACUUCAAUUCCUCCUUCUUCUGUGUUUGGAACAGAGAUGGACUCAUCAAAGUCAACGUGUAGGGAUUCUAUCAAUGUUUGUCUUUCUUUGAGAAGGACUCUAUAGGCCUUGCUCCUUUUUGAGUAUCCAACCAAGAUUCCUUCAUCAGAUUUUUGUGCUAAUUUAUCUUGGUUUCCCCUUGUUCUGAGAACAUAGCACUUACUCCCAAAUACUUUAAAGAAUGAAACUUUGGGUUUUCUGUUAUUCCAAAGUUCAUAAGGAGUUUUGCUUAAGAUUUUUCUAAUGAUUACCUUAUUGAGAGUGUAACAAGCAGUGCUUAUAGCUUAUGCCCAUAGAUAUUGAGGGGAGUCAUGUUCUUGUAACAUAGACUUACUAAUUUCUUGAAGAGUACGAUUUGUUCUUUCUACUAUUCCAUUUUGAGGAGCUUGAGGAAAAGCAAAUUCAUGCUUUAUCCCAUUGAAUAUACAGUACUCUUUAAAGUCAGAGUUUUUAAAUUCUCCUCCAUGAUCACUUCUGAUUUUUAUGAUAGAUGAACCUUUUUCAUUCUGUACUAGGGUACAAAAUUUAGAGAAUUCACCAAAGGUUUCACUUUUGUUUCUUAGAAAGAACACCCAUGUAUAGCGAGAAUAAUCAUCAAUGAUUACAUAGGUGAACCUUUUUCCUCCAAGACUUUGGGUUUGGGUUGGCCCAAAUAAGUCCAUGUGAAGAAUCUCUAAGGGUCUAGAAGUGGUUAUUUCUGUGAGGGAUUUAAACGAGCUUUUAUGUUGCUUUCCUUUUUGACAAGCAUCACAGAUAUUACUUUUCUCAUAAGCUAUUUUAGGCAACCCAGUUACUAAUUCUUCUUUAGACAAUUUAGAUAGUUUUGAGUAGCUGGUGUGACCUAAUCGUCUAUGCCAUAGAACUUUCUCAUCACUUGCAGCAAGCAUGCAGAAGUCAUGAGUUGAUUUAGACUUAUCAAAGUUUAUAGAAUAAGCAUUGCUUUUUCUAUAUCCUCUGGCAAUGAUAACUCCCUCAGAGUUAGUGAUAGAACAAUUAUAUUUUUUAAAUUUUACUACACAACCGAUGUCACAUAAUUGACUUAUGCUAAUCAGGUUGUGUUUUAGACCAUUUACUAAGUACACAUUUCUUAAGAAUGGUUUUUCUGUAUUUCCUACAUUACCCCUACUUACUAUUGUACCUUCGUUGUUAUCGGUGAACUUGACCAUUUUAGUAGUAGGUAAGUCUAUCAAGUAUGUUAGUAGACUUGAUUCCCCAGUCAUGUGUCUUGUGCAUCCACUGUCGAAUAUCCAUUUUGACACAUGUUUUUCCUGAAAAAGUUGAAAAAUCCUUUGGUACCCAUACUAAGUUGGGUCCGGAUGAAUUAACAUACUUAAUCUGCUUAUAACUUCUUAACUCAUCUUUAGUCAUCCAUCUUUGUUUUGGAUGAUUCAUCUUAGAAUGAUUUUUCUUUUUCUUAAGAUGAAUGGAUUUUGUAUAACUAAAAUAAUCAUUAUACAUUGUAGCAUGCAAAGGUUUUGUAUAACUAGAUUCCCUUACAAAAUGAUCAUUAUAAGUUAUGGCAUUUAAGGUUUUGUGAAUAGGUGUAUCUGACUCAAACCCUAAGCCAAAUUUCUUUUGUCCCAAGUUUGAACCUUGCAACAUGUUAUUUAACUUGGAUGAACUAUUUAAGAAUUUUUGAAGAACAUUAUUUUUCUCAUUUAUUCUUUCAGUUUGUAAUUGCAUGCUGUUAUGUUUUUCAGAUAAUUUUUGUAAAGUUUUUUCAUGCUCAAGUAUGAGUUUAUCCUUAGAUUCUAUUUCAGUUUUAAGCAUGAUUGUUUCUUUUUCUUUAUUUCUAAUGAUUUCCUCAAAAUUAUCUAUUUUUAAUUCUAACAAUUCAACCCUAUCAUCAUUUAUUUCCUUAGGUUGAUUUUUUUCAGAUUCUAGAAUAUCGAGUAAUUCAAAAUUUUGACUCUUAAGUGUUUUAAUUUUUUCAUCUCCCUUUUUUAUUUUACUUGAGAGUUUAUGAUUUUCUUCUUUUAAUAACAUGCAUUCUUUUUGUGAUUCUUCUAAUUCUAUUGAAUGAUCAAUAUGUGAUUUAUUCAUGCAUUCUAGUCUUAAUGAUUUACUUAAUUUUUCUCAGCUUUAUAUUUAUUCAUUAAUUCUAGAAAUGCUUCUUCUAAUGAAUUAAAUCUAGUAUUUGUAAAGUUUACCUCAGAGUCGUUCUCAUGAGCCAUGAGGCAGUCUUCUUGAUCUGACUCAGAAUCUGACCAGUGUACUUGAUGUGCUUUUUCUUUCUUUAGUAGAGGACAUUCAGGUCUGAUGUGUCCAGAUUUGUCGCGCGAGUAGCAGAUGGGCUCCUUUGAGUCUUUGUUGUUUUUACUCACUUUUCUGUCGGAAUUCUGAUAGUCUAUCCUUGAAUUUCUCUUUUCUUUCCUUUUAUGAGAUAUCUCUUUAAAUGAUUUGUGAGCAUUGCCAAGUCAUCAUCAGAUGAUUCAUUAUCGAUUUGACUUUUGAGAGCAAUGCCCUUUUUCUCUUCUUUUGCUUUAGAGAUAAAUCUUUCUUCUUCAUAGACCAUCAGAUUUCCGCAAAGUUCUACCACUGUGAGUUUGUUUAGAUCAUGAGAUUCUUGGAUAGCAUUCCUGUUUGAGUAGUAUUUGUUUGGAAGGCUCCUUAGAAUCUUGCUCACUUGCUUUUUCUCAGUUACUGGAUCUCCUAGUCCAGCCAGAUCAUUGACUAUUUGUGAUAGUCGAAUAUUCAUUUCUGCAAUAGUCUCAUCUUCCCUCAUAGAGAAUCUUUCGAAUUGAGAAGUGGCAUGUAGUAGCUUGUUUUCCUUGACGUGGGAGGUUUCUUCAUAUAGAUCCUCCAAAGCUUUCCAUACCUUGUGAGCUGUAUCCAAGCAUCGAAUUCUGCUAUACUCAGAUUCAUUGAGGGCGCCAUAUAGUGCAUUCAAUGCUCUUGAGUUGUUGUUUUCCUUGAGGAUAUCCAUUGCUCCCCAAGUCUCUUCUUUGCUUGUUGGAAUCUCAUAAUCUUCCAAUAUGAUUUUUCAGACUCCAUUGUUGAUUGACUUUAAGUAUAACUUCAUCUUGUUCUUCCAGAAGUCAUACUUUACUCCAUUGUUCGAUGCAAGACCAGUACUGUUUUCACCAUUUGAAGCCAUAGUUGUUGUUGUAAGAUGUUAGUCUGACUUCAACGGAACUUGGCUCUGAUACCACUUGUUGGAUCAAGAUCCGAGGCUAUAAGGGGGGAUAAUAACCUCUUUUCGAUUUAUACGUUUGAUUGCGGAAUUACCUGUAAAUGUUUAAUAAAUAAAUGGUUGAACAAUAAUGAUAUAAAGAUAUUAUGAUUUUGAUUGAUAUAAUAAUGUAAUUAUUACUCUUCGAAGCUUACUACAGUAUAUGAAUACUGAGUCAACUUGCUUGAUAGUGUUUUACAAACAACUAUAGUAUAUGAAUACUAAGUUAUAUUGUAAACACAAAUUGUAUUGUAGAGUAAAUGACCAGAUAACUGGAUAUAUUGAUAAGCAAGUAAAUGACCAGAUAACUGGAUAUAUUGAUAAGCAAGCAAGUGACCAGAUAACUGGAUAUAUAUGAUAAGUAACACUUGAACAAAUAUAAAGAUUUAAAGCAAUGAAUAUAACCUCAGAUGGUUGACCAGAUAACUGGAUGAGGGAUCUGCGUAAAGUAGUCAACCUCUGUAUUUGACCAGAUAACUGGAAGAGGGAUCUUUUUAAUUAAGUGUUGUUUUUAGAUAAAAGAUAAAACUAUAAUUAACAGAGAACAACACAAGAGAUUUAUACUGGUUCACCCAAUCAAGGGCUAGUCCAGUCCCGACCAACUGCCGGAAUUCACUCACCUAAAGGUAAUGGCAAAACCUUAGAGUAUCAAGGAAACUCUUAAGAACCUCUCUAAGCUUUAAGGCUACUUCGCUUAGGAACCAGUCUUUUACGGGUAGACUCACACCUUAGAGUAUCAAGGGCACUCUUAAGAACCUCUAACUUUUGCGGGUAAGUUAGUACCUUAGAGUAUCAAGGAACUCUUAAAAACCUCUCUAAGCUUUAAGGCUACUUUGUUUAGGAACCAGUCUUUUACGGGUAGACUCACACCUUAGAGUAUCAAGGGCACUCUUAAGAACCUCUAACUUUUACGGGUAAGUUAGUACCUUAGAGUAUCAAGGACCUCUUAAAACCCUCUCUAAGCUUUAAGGCUACUUCGCUUAGGAACCAGUCUUUUACGGGUAGACUCACACCUUAGAGUAUCAAGGGCACUCUUAAGAACCUCUAACUUUUACGGGUAAGUUAGUACCUUAGAGUAUCAAGGAACUCUUAAAAACCUCUGAAAUCUUUAAAGGUAGACUCGACCUAAGAGUUUUCCCGAAAACUCUAUAAAACCAAACUAGAGCUUUAUGGUUGAGCUCAAAAACCUUCUCUCACACUUUGGUACUAUUGAGACAACCCUCUCAACCAAAGUGGACACACACAAGAGGAGAUUAGAGGAGUGGAAUAUUAAAGCAAACAACACUUCUUACUUGUAAAGAUGAACAAGAAGAUUAAAAGAAGAAGUUGGAGAGCUUUUGAAGCUUUGGAAAGCUAGGACACUUGAGCACUUGAAAGCUUGGAAGCUUGGAGGCAAAAACGUGUGGGCAAGUGUGGAGUGAAAGCUCUUGAGUUUGCUUGUAGUGUGGUGAGUGAAAAUGAGGGGUUUACCCUUCUAUUUAUAGCCUUGGCCACUCAAUGUCCACCCUUGGAUCUUCAAUGGAUGGCUCCUUGAUUUCUCAC